This 107-nucleotide small nuclear RNA is filed under the name Callithrix jacchus (white-tufted-ear marmoset). The record is from RNAcentral. Lineage: Eukaryota; Metazoa; Chordata; Mammalia; Primates; Cebidae.
GUGCUCGCUUCAGCGGCACAUAUACUAAAAUAGGAAUGAUACAGAGACGAUUAGCAUGUCCCCUGCGCAAGGAUGACACGCAAAUUCAUGAAGUGUUCCAUAUUAAA